UCCUCAUUUAAAUGAGGCAGUCCGUCCGAAGUGCUUCGAACUCUCGUCCGAGUGGCAACAGGACGCAAGGGUUGCGCUCGUUGCGGGACUUAACCCAACAUCUCACGACACGAGCUGACGACAGCCAUGCAGCACCUGUGUAUCCUGGUAUUGCUACCUCGUCAGGCUUUCACCCUUCUACUAGAUACAUGUCAAGGCCAGGUAAGGUUCUUCGCGUUGCAUCGAAUUAAGCCACAUACUCCACCGCUUGUGCAGGCCCCCGUCAAUUUCUUUGAGUUUUAAUCUUGCGACCGUACUUCCCAGGCGGCGCAUUUAACGCGUUAGCUUCGCCACGAACGGGGUCGAUUCCGCUCACAGCAAAUGCGCACCGUUUACGGCUAGGACUAC
This 387-nucleotide unclassified non-coding RNA is filed under the name uncultured Verrucomicrobiae bacterium. Its description in RNAcentral is "contains 16S-23S intergenic spacer region". Lineage: Bacteria; Pseudomonadati; Verrucomicrobiota; Verrucomicrobiia. The record is from RNAcentral.